GUAGGCAUAGAACAUAAGGAAAGCAUUGAACUCUGACUUUCUCACGAUCUCCAGUAUUGUUUGAAGAAAAUUUCUCACAUUUUUCUGUGAAUACCUUUUGCAGUGUACAGUGCACUGUGGCUCGUUCUUGGGGAAUCCUAUGCUGUGUUUUGUCAUGUGCAGAUUUUAUAUUAGGAUUUUUUUUUUUUUAUCAUGUUAACAUUCAGCUUUUCUUCACAAUUGCAAUCCCUCUUCAUUUUAUUUUCCCCAUUCUGAUGGAAUUCUCUGAUAUAUAGCCUUUGAUUUAUUGCUCUUUGUGUUUUCUCUGCUCUUUUU
Molecule: unclassified non-coding RNA, 315 nt
Filed under: Hevea brasiliensis (rubber tree)
Lineage: Eukaryota; Viridiplantae; Streptophyta; Magnoliopsida; Malpighiales; Euphorbiaceae
Source: RNAcentral